This is a long non-coding RNA of Cucumis melo (muskmelon), 497 nucleotides long. RefSeq lists it as uncharacterized. The transcript has 2 exons. The record is from RefSeq and is a predicted model, not a curated record. NCBI's taxonomy places the organism in Eukaryota, Viridiplantae, Streptophyta, Magnoliopsida, Cucurbitales, Cucurbitaceae.
UACGUAACCACCCGUUUCACAGUUGAAAGAUUUUAAGGCAACCAAGUUCUUCACACACAAGUCAAAAACCAAACCCCUUUAUUCUUCUUAGAUUUCAUUCUCAAAUACAUCUCCUCCGAUUUGAAAACGAUGGUUCAAUUCUGGAAACGGAAGUUUCCAUUUAGAUUCAAGAUGCAACUUUCAUAGCUUCAUGAAUUGGGCCCCAGGUUGGUUGGUGUUUGCCGACAACUGUGUCUCAUAUGUUCCAUACUGCACUACACAACCCAAAGAAGCAAAACAGGAAAUAGGGAUAUUUUGGUCUAGGCUUGCCUUCAAUCCAUGCGACAUACAGAUAACACACCUUGACUUAUCUCUUCAUUCUCCCACCCUCUAAAUAAUUUCACAAUUAUGUCAUAUUGUUCUAUUUGAACAUAAAUUUUAUGGUUUUAUUUUUUGUUUAUCUCUAAAGCCUCGUACUAAUCUUGUAUAUUCAUGAAUUGAUUUCUCUUCUUCAACCA